CCUACGGGUGGCAGCAGUGGGGGAUAUUGCACAAUGGGGGGAACCCUGAUGCAGCGACGCCGCGUGGAGGAUGAAGGUUUUAGGAUUGUAAACUCCUUUUGUGAGAGAAGAUAAUGACGGUAUCUCACGAAUAAGCACCGGCUAACUCCGUGCCAGCAGCCGCGGUAAUACGGAGGGUGCAAGCGUUACUCGGAAUCACUGGGCGUAAAGAGUGCGCAGGCGGGCUUGUAAGUCAGAUGUGAAAUCCUGUAGCUUAACUACAGAACUGCAUUUGAAACUAUGAGUCUAGAGUGUGGGAGAGGUAGGUGGAAUUCUUGGUGUAGGGGUAAAAUCCGUAGAUAUCAAGAGGAAUACUCAUUGCGAAGGCAGCUUACUAAACUGUGACUGACAUUGAUGCUCGAAAGUGUGGGUAUCAAACAGGAUUAGAUACCCCUGUAGUC
Molecule: ribosomal RNA, 440 nt
Filed under: uncultured bacterium
Lineage: Bacteria
Description: partial 16S ribosomal RNA
Rfam family: Bacterial small subunit ribosomal RNA
Source: RNAcentral